UCUGUCUUCUUAACAAUCAUGUGCCUUGGGUGCUGCAGUGCGCUGGUUUGGGGUUCAAGUGCAAAACACAAACCUCAGAGGGUGGGCAGGGAACAUGAACUAGAAGAUGAAGACGUCGUCCAAAUCAUCAAGAAGGUGUGAUUGUAGAACUUGUACUUUGAAUGCUGCAGUUGAUGCAGAUCUCUAGCACUAAAGGGUUUCAUCGCAUGUUGAGGUUUGUCCUAGAUUGCAUCCCUUGGUUUAGUUGUCCUUUUUCCAGUAGUUAGAUCUAGUUUGAACAAAGUAAAUCUUGUUGUGCCUGUUGUCACGGACAAGCUAUAUGGUGAAUCUGCACAUGUGCUGGCUAAUCGUCCUCUGUAUCAUCUAAAGCCUGCCCCAGGGAGCAGUUAGUGGUAGUUGAAACUGCAAAAAUUUAGUUUGUUUGUUCAUACACUGUUGCCUCCAACUGGAGCUAAAAUUUUCCAUGAGAACUUUUAGUGUUUUUGAUGAUUUUAUGUUGAA
Molecule: non-coding RNA, 501 nt
Organism: Nicotiana tabacum (common tobacco)
Lineage: Eukaryota; Viridiplantae; Streptophyta; Magnoliopsida; Solanales; Solanaceae
Source: RefSeq, a predicted model, not a curated record